RNAcentral lists this ribosomal RNA (418 nucleotides) under Klebsiella pneumoniae. RNAcentral's name for it is "bacterial LSU rRNA". It matches the Rfam family "Bacterial large subunit ribosomal RNA", at positions 829 to 1247 of the family's 2925-position model. The record is from RNAcentral. Lineage: Bacteria; Pseudomonadati; Pseudomonadota; Gammaproteobacteria; Enterobacterales; Enterobacteriaceae.
CCAAUCAAACCGGGAGAUAGCUGGUUCUCCCCGAAAGCUAUUAGGUAGCGCCUCGUGAACUCAUCUUCGGGGGUAGAGCACUGUUUCGGCUAGGGGUCAUCCCGACUUACCAACCCGAUGCAAACUACGAAUACCGAAGAAUGUUAUCACGGGAGACACACGGCGGGUGCUAACGUCCGUCGUGAAGAGGGAAACAACCCAGACCGCCAGCUAAGGUCCCAAAGUCAUGGUUAAGUGGGAAACGAUGUGGGAAGGCACAGACAGCCAGGAUGUUGGCUUAGAAGCAGCCAUCAUUUAAAGAAAGCGUAAUAGCUCACUGGUCGAGUCGGCCUGCGCGGAAGAUGUAACGGGGCUAAACCAUGCACCGAAGCUGCGGCAGCGACACUAUGUGUUGUUGGGUAGGGGAGCGUUCUGUAAG